Molecule: ribosomal RNA, 807 nt
Filed under: uncultured Sordariomycetidae
Lineage: Eukaryota; Fungi; Ascomycota; Sordariomycetes
Description: eukaryotic LSU rRNA
Rfam family: Eukaryotic large subunit ribosomal RNA (bases 541-807)
Source: RNAcentral
CUUGGUCAUUUAGAGGAAGUAAAAGUCGUAACAAGGUCUCCGUUGGUGAACCAGCGGAGGGAUCAUUACCGAGUUUACAACUCCCAAACCCCUGUGAACAUACCUUAAUGUUGCCUCGGCGGAUCAGCCCGCGCCCCGUAAAACGGGACGGCCCGCCAGAGGAUCCAAACUCUAAUGUUUCUUAUUGUAACUUCUGAGUAAAACAAACAAAUAAAUCAAAACUUUCAACAACGGAUCUCUUGGUUCUGGCAUCGAUGAAGAACGCAGCAAAAUGCGAUAAGUAAUGUGAAUUGCAGAAUUCAGUGAAUCAUCGAAUCUUUGAACGCACAUUGCGCCCGCUGGUAUUCCGGCGGGCAUGCCUGUUCGAGCGUCAUUUCAACCCUCAAACCUCACGGUUUGGUGUUGGGGAUCGGGUUUUCGCAAGAGAACCCGCCCCCUAAAUACAUUGGCGGUCUCGCUGCAACCUCCAUUGCGUAGUAGCUAACACCUCGCAACUGGAACGCGGCGCGGCCAUGCCGUAAAACCCCAACUUCUGAACGUUGACCUCGGAUCAGGUAGGAAUACCCGCUGAACUUAAGCAUAUCAAUAAGCGGAGGAAAAGAAACCAACAGGGAUUGCCCUAGUAACGGCGAGUGAAGCGGCAACAGCUCAAAUUUGAAAUCCGGCUUUCGGGCCCGAGUUGUAAUUUGUAGAGGAUACUUUUGAUGCGGUGCCUUCCGAGUUCCCUGGAACGGGACGCCAUAGAGGGUGAGAGCCCCGUCUGGUUGGAUGCCAAAUCUCUGUAAAGUUCCUUCGACGAGUCGAGUA